AGUCGAACGGUCUCUUCGGAGAUAGUGGCGGACGGGUGAGUAACGCGUGAGAACAUGCCUUUAGAUUGGGGACAACAGUUGGAAACGACUGCUAAUACCGAAUGUGCCUUAGGGUGAAAGAUUUAUUGUCUAGAGAUUGGCUCGCGUCAGAUUAGCUAGUUGGAGUGGUAACGGCACACCAAGGCGACGAUCUGUACUUGGUCUGAGAGGAUGACCAGGCACACUGGAACUGAGACACGGUCCAGACUCCUACGGGAGGCAGCAGUGGGGAAUUUUCCGCAAUGGGCGAAAGCCUGACGGAGCAAUACCGCGUGAGGGAGGACGGCUUUUGGGUUGUAAACCUCUUUUAUCAGGGAAGAAUCGAUGACGGUACCUGAUGAAUCAGCAUCGGCUAACUCCGUGCCAGCAGCCGCGGUAAUACGGAGGAUGCAAGCGUUAUCCGGAAUUAUUGGGCGUAAAGCGUCCGUAGGUGGUUUAUCAAGUCUGCUGUCAAAGCGUGCGGCUUAACCGCAUAAGGGCAGUGGAAACUGAUGAACUAGAGUGCGAUAGGGGUAACAGGAAUUCCCAGUGUAGCGGUGAAAUGCGUAGAUAUUGGGAAGAACACCAGCGGCGAAAGCGUGUUACUGGGUCUGCACUGACACUGAGGGACGAAAGCUAGGGGAGCGAAAGGGAUUAGAUACCCCUGUAGUCCUAGCCGUAAACGAUGACAACUAGGCGUGGUUCGUAUCGACCCGAGCCGUGCCGUAGCCAACGCGUUAAGUUGUCCGCCUGGGGAGUACGCACGCAAGUGUGAAACUCAAAGGAAUUGACGGGGGCCCGCACAAGCGGUGGAGUAUGUGGUUUAAUUCGAUGCAACGCGAAGAACCUUACCAAGGCUUGACAUCCUCGGAACCCUGAUGAAAGUUAGGGGUGCCUUCGGGAGCCGAGAGACAGGUGGUGCAUGGCUGUCGUCAGCUCGUGUCGUGAGAUGUUGGGUUAAGUCCCGCAACGAGCGCAACCCACGUUUUUAGUUGCCAGCAUUCAGUUGGGCACUCUAGAGAGACUGCCGGUGACAAACCGGAGGAAGGUGUGGAUGACGUCAAGUCAGCAUGCCCCAUACGCCUUGGGCUACACACGUACUACAAUGCGUCGGACAAAGAGCAGCCAGCCAGCGAUGGUGAGCCAAUCUCAUAAACCGACGCUCAGUUCAGAUUGCAGGCUGCAACUCGCCUGCAUGAAGGCGGAAUCGCUAGUAAUCGCAGGUCAGCAUACUGCGGUGAAUACGUUCCCGGGCCUUGUACACACCGCCCGUCACACCAUGGGAGUUGGUCACGCCCGAAGUCGUUACUCUAACUGCUUGCAGAGGAGGACGCCGAAGGUGGGGCUGAUGACUGGGGUGAAGUCGUAACAAGGUAGCCG
Molecule: ribosomal RNA, 1398 nt
Filed under: Leptolyngbya sp. YACCYB335
Lineage: Bacteria; Bacillati; Cyanobacteriota; Cyanophyceae; Leptolyngbyales; Leptolyngbyaceae
Description: bacterial SSU rRNA
Rfam family: Bacterial small subunit ribosomal RNA
Source: RNAcentral